Solanum tuberosum (potato) is the source of this 414-nucleotide long non-coding RNA. RefSeq lists it as uncharacterized. NCBI's taxonomy places the organism in Eukaryota, Viridiplantae, Streptophyta, Magnoliopsida, Solanales, Solanaceae. The record is from RefSeq and is a predicted model, not a curated record. The transcript is spliced from 2 exons.
UGAAGGAUGAUGCAUAUUAUAAACAGACUCUAAUGACUCUUUGGGCUUAUAAGUUAUAACCCAGGAAAUGAUCUCCAUGACACGAGACAUCCUGUGAGGGUCAUAUAAAUAGACCCUGCAAGCUGACUACUACCUUCAUCAGUUACUAGGCUGUGAUGAGAUUGAGAGAACUCAACAGCAGAUCGAGUAAAAAUAUUGCCUCUUCAUUCAUAGUGAGAGAACUCAACAGCAUUUAGACAUGAUAAAUAACGUUGAAUUUAAUUUCUCGCAUUAUCUUUUCACCUUCUCCCUUACCCCUAAGGGGGAGACAAUACCAUUCUGUUGUCAUUCAGAUGCAUGGGCUGCUUGAUAGUUGGUGUAUUUGAAUGAUGAUCUACUUCAGUUCCUUGAUAAAUCAUAAGAAAUUUCAGUUCA